CUCCCCUAGCCACAGGGCUGGGCCUUAACAAUACCAUGACACCUCUCAUCCUCCUAGAAAGGGCCAGAGACAGCUCACUCCCUACCCAAGGAGGCUUGGCGGCUGCUGCAUUUCCCAAGGGGAGAAGCCACCAAAACAGGCCUCAAGAGAGACUGGCCCAGGCAUAAAUUGACACUUAAACUCCUGGGGAAGGAGCGGAUACCAGAAUUAAUGCCACAGAGCAGCCUCUUUUGUGGAUUAGAGCAUCUGAGAAGCUGGAACAGAACAAGCUAGCGCCAUCAAAAUUGAGUGACUCUUUCCUUCUAGAACAAUGGGUUUUCUACCAGAAGAGCUAUUGACUUUGAAUGGUUCUCUGCACAGCAGCUGAUGGGAUAGGGGCUACCCAGAAUUUCUCCAUCUGAAGCACAUAGGCCACAGGAGGAAAGACAUGCCAAAAGAUCAAGCUAAGAAGAAGGAAGGCAGGAAGGGCUGCAUCACCUCUGGUCACUGACUAAACCCAGGACUUACGGAGGGGUGAGAUCAGAUUUUGAGGGCUGCAUUCAGGACUCUCUGCUAUACAAAGAUCUGUAACUCUCCAGAGUGCUUGGUUCAGAGUAAAGUGUCUGUGGUUAACAAA
Molecule: long non-coding RNA, 616 nt
Organism: Trachemys scripta elegans
Lineage: Eukaryota; Metazoa; Chordata; Testudines; Emydidae
Exons: 2
Source: RefSeq, a predicted model, not a curated record